This 430-nucleotide ribosomal RNA is filed under the name Pseudomonadota bacterium. Its description in RNAcentral is "Proteobacteria bacterium partial 16S ribosomal RNA". It matches the Rfam family "Bacterial small subunit ribosomal RNA", at positions 355 to 776 of the family's 1533-position model. The record is from RNAcentral. Lineage: Bacteria; Pseudomonadati; Pseudomonadota.
UGGGGAAUAUUGGACAAUGGGGGGAACCCUGAUCCAGCCAUGCCGCGUGUGUGAAGAAGGCCUUAUGGUUGUAAAGCACUUUAAGCGAGGAGGAGGCUCUUUUGGUUAAUACCCAAGAUGAGUGGACGUUACUCGCAGAAUAAGCACCGGCUAACUCUGUGCCAGCAGCCGCGGUAAUACAGAGGGUGCGAGCGUUAAUCGGAUUUACUGGGCGUAAAGCGUGCGUAGGCGGCUUUUUAAGUCGGAUGUGAAAUCCCCGAGCUUAACUUGGGAAUUGCAUUCGAUACUGGGAAGCUAGAGUAUGGGAGAGGAUGGUAGAAUUCCAGAUGUAGCGGUGAAAUGCGUAGAGAUCUGGAGAAAUACCGAUGGCGAAGGCAGCCAUCUGGCCUAAUACUGACGCUGAGGUACGAAAGCAUGGGGAGCAAACAGG